GCGGGGCUACCCGGCACGAACUGAUGAGAACAUCCCUGAGGCGAUUCACUAUCUAAGGGAGCUGUCCCUGUCCGGUCCACUUUUUCGCAUUGGGGAUCGGUGCAUAUGGCCCCCACCUGGCGUUUUUGGCGUCAGAGGAUAUUCCGGGAAACGACCAUGGUGGUUCCGCC
Molecule: non-coding RNA, 170 nt
Filed under: Sphingomonadales bacterium
Lineage: Bacteria; Pseudomonadati; Pseudomonadota; Alphaproteobacteria; Sphingomonadales
Description: 6S RNA
Rfam family: 6S / SsrS RNA
About the family: E. coli 6S RNA was the first non coding RNA to be sequenced, but its function was unknown until recently. It consists of 184 nucleotides that fold into an extended hairpin structure with a large single-stranded internal bulge. The 6S RNA specifically associates with RNA polymerase holoenzyme containing the sigma70 specificity factor.
Source: RNAcentral